RNAcentral lists this ribosomal RNA (490 nucleotides) under uncultured bacterium. RNAcentral describes it as "partial 16S ribosomal RNA". It matches the Rfam family "Bacterial small subunit ribosomal RNA", at positions 30 to 507 of the family's 1533-position model. The record is from RNAcentral.
AUUGAACGCUGGCGGCAGGCCUAACACAUGCAAGUCGAACGGUAACAGGAAGCAGCUUGCUGCUUUGCUGACGAGUGGCGGGCGGGUGAGUAAUGUCUGGGAAACUGCCCGAUGGAGGGGGAUAACUACUGGAAACGGUAGCUAAUACCGCAUAACGUCGCAAGACCAAAGAGGGGGACAUUAGGGCCUCUUGCCAUCGGAUGUGCCCAGGUGGGAUUAGCUAGUAGGUGGGGUAACGGCUCACCUAGGCGACGAUCCCUAGCUGGUCUGAGAGGAUGACCAGCCACACUGGAACUGAGACACGGUCCAGACUCCUACGGGAGGCAGCAGUGGGGAAUAUUGCACAAAGGGCGCAAGCCUGAUGCAGCCAUGCCGCGUGUAUGAAGAAGGCCUUCGGGUUGUAAAGUACUUUCAGCGGGGAGGAAGGGAGUAAAGUUAAUACCUUUGCUCAUUGACGGUACCCGCAGAAGAAGCACCGGCUAACUCCGUG